GGAAAAAAGGGAGCUUGCUCCCUGAUGUUAGCGGCGGACGGGUGAGUAACACGUGGGUAACCUGCCUGUAAGACUGGGAUAACUCCGGGAAACCGGGGCUAAUACCGGAUAGUUCCUUGAACCGCAUGGUUCAAGGAUGAAAGACGGCUUCGGCUGUCACUUACAGAUGGACCCGCGGCGCAUUAGCUAGUUGGUGGGGUAAUGGCUCACCAAGGCGACGAUGCGUAGCCGACCUGAGAGGGUGAUCGGCCACACUGGGACUGAGACACGGCCCAGACUCCUACGGGAGGCAGCAGUAGGGAAUCUUCCGCAAUGGACGAAAGUCUGACGGAGCAACGCCGCGUGAGUGAUGAAGGUUUUCGGAUCGUAAAGCUCUGUUGUUAGGGAAGAACAAGUGCGAGUAGUAACUGGCUCGCACCUUGACGGUACCUAACCAGAAAGCCACGGCUAACUACGUGCCAGCAGCCGCGGUAAUACGUAGGUGGCAAGCGUUGUCCGGAAUUAUUGGGCGUAAAGGGCUCGCAGGCGGUUUGUUAAGUCUGAUGUGAAAGCCCCCGGCUCAACCGGGGAGGGUCAUUGGAAACUGGGAAACUUGAGUGCAGAAGAGGAAAGUGGAAUUCCAAGUGUAGCGGUGAAAUGCGUAGAGAUUUGGAGGAACACCAGUGGCGAAGGCGACUUUCUGGUCUGUAACUGACGCUGAGGAGCGAAAGCGUGGGGAGCAAACAGGAUUAGAUACCCUGGUAGUCCACGCCGUAAACGAUGAGUGCUAAGUGUUAGGGGGUUUCCGCCCCUUAGUGCUGCAGCUAACGCAUUAAGCACUCCGCCUGGGGAGUACGGUCGCAAGACUGAAACUCAAAGGAAUUGACGGGGGCCCGCACAAGCGGUGGAGCAUGUGGUUUAAUUCGAAGCAACGCGAAGAACCUUACCAGGUCUUGACAUCCUCUGACAACCCUAGAGAUAGGGCUUUCCCUUCGGGGACAAGAGUGACAGGUGGUGCAUGGUUGUCGUCAGCUCGUGUCGUGAGAUGUUGGGUUAAGUCCCGCAACGAGCGCAACCCUUGAUCUUAGUUGCCAGCAUUAAGUUGGGCACUCUAAGGUGACUGCCGGUGACAAACCGGAGGAAGGUGGGGAUGACGUCAAAUCAUCAUGCCCCUUAUGACCUGGGCUACACACGUGCUACAAUGGACAGAUACAAACGGUUGCCAACUCGCGAGAGGGAGCUAAUCCCAUAAAGUCGUUCUCAGUUCGGAUCGCAGUCUGCAACUCGACUGCGUGAAGCCGGAAUCGCUAGUAAUCGCGGAUCAGCAUGCCGCGGUGAAUACGUUCCCGGGCCUUGUACACACCGCCCGUCACACCACGAGAGUUUGUAACACCCGAAGUCGGUGGGGUAACCUUUUGGAGCCAGCCGCCGAAGGUGGGAUAGAUGAUUGGGCGCUGAAGUCGUAACAAG
RNAcentral lists this ribosomal RNA (1449 nucleotides) under Bacillus sp. NM27. Its description in RNAcentral is "bacterial SSU rRNA". It matches the Rfam family "Bacterial small subunit ribosomal RNA". The record is from RNAcentral. Lineage: Bacteria; Bacillati; Bacillota; Bacilli; Caryophanales; Bacillaceae.